Molecule: ribosomal RNA, 1428 nt
Filed under: Paenibacillus sp. EKM208P
Lineage: Bacteria; Bacillati; Bacillota; Bacilli; Caryophanales; Paenibacillaceae
Description: partial 23S ribosomal RNA
Rfam family: Bacterial large subunit ribosomal RNA
Source: RNAcentral
AGAAUCGUGGAGGUAGAGCACUGAUUGGGUGCGGGGCCCGCAAGGGUUACCAAGCUCAGUCAAACUCCGAAUGCCAUAGAUUUAGUUCCGGGAGUCAGACAGUGAGUGCUAAGAUCCAUUGUCGAAAGGGAAACAGCCCAGACCAUCAGCUAAGGUCCCCAAGUGUGUGUUAAGUGGGAAAGGAUGUGGAGUUGCACAGACAACCAGGAUGUUGGCUUAGAAGCAGCCACCAUUGAAAGAGUGCGUAAUAGCUCACUGGUCGAGUGACUCUGCGCCGAAAAUGUAACGGGGCUAAACACACCACCGAAGCUAUGGCUUGAUGCUUGCAUCAGGGGUAGGGGAGCGUUGAAUGCGGGUUGAAGGUGUACCGUAAGGAGCGCUGGACUGCAUUCAAGUGAGAAUGCCGGUAUGAGUAACGAAAAGAUCUGUGAGAAUCAGAUCCGCCGAAAGCCUAAGGGUUCCUGAGGAAGGUUCGUCCGCUCAGGGUAAGUCGGGACCUAAGGCGAGGCCGAUAGGCGUAGUCGAAGGACAACAGGUCGAAAUUCCUGUACCACCGUAAUCCGUUAUGAGCGAUGGGGUGACGCAGUAGGGUAGUGACGCGGACUGAUGGAUGUCCGUCUAAGCAGUGAGGCUGAUGUGUAGGCAAAUCCGCACAUCGUAAGGCUGGGCUGUGAUGGGGAGCGAAAAUUAUAGUAGCGAAGGUCAUGAUCUCAGACUGCCAAGAAAAGCCUCUAGCCAGGAGAAGGUGCCCGUACCGCAAACCGACACAGGUAGGCGAGAAGAGAAUUCUAAGGCGCGCGGAAGAACUCUCGUUAAGGAACUCGGCAAAAUGACCCCGUAACUUCGGGAGAAGGGGUGCCUCGGUAGGGUGAAUAGCCCGAGGGGGCCGCAGUGAAAAGGCCCAAGCGACUGUUUAGCAAAAACACAGGUCUGUGCGAAGCCGCAAGGCGAAGUAUACGGGCUGACGCCUGCCCGGUGCUGGAAGGUUAAGGGGAGUGGUAAGCCCUUCGGGGCGAAGCUAUGAACCGAAGCCCCAGUAAACGGCGGCCGUAACUAUAACGGUCCUAAGGUAGCGAAAUUCCUUGUCAGGUAAAUUCUGACCCGCACGAAUGGCGUAACGACUUGGGCGCUGUCUCAACGAGAGAUCCGGUGAAAUUUUAAUACCUGUGAAGAUGCAGGUUACCCGCGACAAGACGGAAAGACCCCAUGGAGCUUUACUGCAGCUUGAUAUUGAAUUUGGGUACGAUCUGUACAGGAUAGGUGGGAGCCGUUGAAUCUUGAGCGCCAGCUUGAGAGGAGGCAUCCUUGGGAUACCACCCUGAUCGUAUCUAGGUUCUAACUUGGUACCGUGAUCCGGUGCGAGGACAGUGUCAGGUGGGCAGUUUGACUGGGGCGGUCGCCUCCUAAAGAGUAACGGAGGCGCCCCAA